GAUGAACGCUGGCGGCGUGCUUAACACAUGCAAGUCGAACGGAAAGGCUCCUGCUUGCAGGGGUACUCGAGUGGCGAACGGGUGAGUAACACGUGGGAGAUCUGUCCUGCAAUUCGGGAUAAGCCUGGGAAACUGGGCCUAAUACCGGAUAGGACGAUGGUUGGGAUGCCAUUGUGGAAAGUUUUUCGGUGUGGGAUGAGCUCGCGGCCUAUCAGCUUGUUGGUGGGGUAAUGGCCUACCAAGGCGUCGACGGGUAGCCGGCCUGAGAGGGUGUACGGCCACAGUGGGACUCAGAGACGGCCCAGACUCCGACGGAAGGCAGCAGUGAGGAAUAGUACACAAUGGGCGCAAGCCUAAUGCAGCGACGCCGCAUGAGGAAUGACGGCCUUCGGGUUGUAAACUCCUUUCGCUACGGACCAAGCGCAAGUGGCAGUACCUGGAGAAGAAGCACCGGCUAACUACGUG
Molecule: ribosomal RNA, 465 nt
Filed under: uncultured bacterium
Lineage: Bacteria
Description: partial 16S ribosomal RNA
Rfam family: Bacterial small subunit ribosomal RNA
Source: RNAcentral